AGAUUGAACGCUGGCGGCAGGCCUAACACAUGCAAGUCGAGCGGUAGAGAGGUGCUUGCAUAUCUUGAGAGCGGCGGACGGGUGAGUAAUGCCUAGGAAUCUGCCUAGUGGUGGGGGAUAACGUUCGGAAACGGACGCUAAUACCGCAUACGUCCUACGGGAGAAAGCGGGGGACCUUCGGGCCUCGCGCCAUUAGAUGAGCCUAGGUCGGAUUAGCUAGUUGGUGAGGUAAUGGCUCACCAAGCGACGAUCCGUAACUGGUCUGAGAGGAUGAUCAGUCACACUGGAACUGAGACACGGUCCAGACUACCUACGGGAGGCCAGCGAGGUAGGGAAUAGUUGGACAAGUGGGACGAAAGCCUGAU
This 365-nucleotide ribosomal RNA is filed under the name uncultured soil bacterium. RNAcentral's name for it is "bacterial SSU rRNA". It matches the Rfam family "Bacterial small subunit ribosomal RNA", at positions 26 to 387 of the family's 1533-position model. The record is from RNAcentral.